GACGAACGCUGGCGGCGUGCUUAACACAUGCAAGUCGAGCGGUAAGGCCCUUUCGGGGGUACACGAGCGGCGAACGGGUGAGUAACACGUGGGUGACCUGCCCUCAGCUCUGGGAUAAGCCUGGGAAACCGGGUCUAAUACUGGAUAUGACUCCAUGACGCAUGUUGUGGGGUGGAAAGCCUUGUGCGGCUGAGGAUGGGCCCGCGGCCUAUCAGCUUGUUGGUGGGGUGANGGCCUACCAAGGCGACGACGGGUAGCCGGCCUGAGAGGGCGACCGGCCACACUGGGACUGAGACACGGCCCAGACUCCGUACGGGAGGCAGCAGUGGGGAAUCUUGCGCAAUGGGCGAAAGCCUGACGCAGCGACGCCGCGUGAGGGAUGACGGCCUGGUGU
RNAcentral lists this ribosomal RNA (394 nucleotides) under uncultured bacterium. RNAcentral describes it as "bacterial SSU rRNA". It matches the Rfam family "Bacterial small subunit ribosomal RNA", at positions 28 to 422 of the family's 1533-position model. The record is from RNAcentral.